This 483-nucleotide ribosomal RNA is filed under the name Actinomyces sp. 'ARUP UnID 61'. RNAcentral's name for it is "bacterial SSU rRNA". It matches the Rfam family "Bacterial small subunit ribosomal RNA", at positions 27 to 506 of the family's 1533-position model. Lineage: Bacteria; Bacillati; Actinomycetota; Actinomycetes; Actinomycetales; Actinomycetaceae. The record is from RNAcentral.
GGACGAACGCUGGCGGCGUGCUUAACACAUGCAAGUCGAACGCUGAUGGCCCAGCUUGCUGGGUUGGAUGAGUGGCGAACGGGUGAGUAACACGUGAGUAACCUGCCCUCUUCUUUGGGAUAACGGUCGGAAACGGCUGCUAAUACCGGGUAUUCACUGUCCUUCGCAUGGGGGGUGGUGGAAAGGUUUUUUCUGGUGGGGGAUGGGCUCGCGGCCUAUCAGCUUGUUGGUGGGGUGAUGGCUUACCAAGGCUUUGACGGGUAACCGGCCUGAGAGGGUGACCGGUCACAUUGGGACUGAGAUACGGCCCAGACUCCUACGGGAGGCAGCAGUGGGGAAUAUUGCACAAUGGGCGAAAGCCUGAUGCAGCGACGCCGCGUGAGGGAUGGAGGCCUUCGGGUUGUAAACCUCUUUCGCUCAUGGUCAAGCCGCAACUGUGGUUGUGGUGAGGGUAGUGGGUAAAGAAGCACCGGCUAACUACGU